Molecule: long non-coding RNA, 286 nt
Filed under: Lathyrus oleraceus (garden pea)
Lineage: Eukaryota; Viridiplantae; Streptophyta; Magnoliopsida; Fabales; Fabaceae
Description: Pisum sativum (pea) long non-coding RNA (PSAT_LNC003134)
Source: RNAcentral
AGUCAAGAAGAACAACAUGAAGGUUCAUUAUGGCGGAUAGAUGGCGAAGAGGAACAAUGCGUCAUUGAUCAAAGGUGUUAUCAAUGUUAGGGCACAAAUCAAGGGAUCCAAGUAUAAUGCUUUUAAUGAGUAAUAAAAUAUAGAUGAUGUUAACUACCAUGUCAUAAUCAUUUAAGAGAAUAAUCAUAUUACAAAUGAUUGUAACAUAAACGAAGAAAGGGAAAUUAUGGAGAUUUUAGAGGGAACACUUGGGAGAGAAACACAUGGAGAGAGAGAGGGAGAGAGA